AUGGCGGCGCCCAAGCCCAUCUGGGUCCGCCAGGCCGAGGAGGCCAAGCUCAAGUCCGAGGCCGACACCGCCGCCGCCGCCAAGGCCGCCUUCGACGCCACCUUCAGGGCCCUCUCCGCGACCGCCCACGCCGACCAGUCCCCCCAGGACGCCGACCCGGAGCGCCACGACCGGCCCUCCUCCCCCGCCGAGCCCUCCUUCCGCCCCGACCCCGAAUCCGACUCCGACGACGACGACCGCCCCGGCGCCCCUCCCGGCCCCGUCGACCCCUCCAAGUCCUCCGCCGCGGGCCCCGGCAUCGCCGGCGGCUCCGCGGGCGCGCCGGCCACCUUCACCGUCGUCGGGAAGGACCGCGACGGGCGCAGGGUCUCCGUAGGCGGCGCCCGCGUCCGCGUCCGCAUCUGCCCCGCGGCUGGCGUCGGCGGCGACGACCUAGAUGGCGGCGUCAGGGACAACGGCGACGGAUCCUACGCCGUCACCUACGCAGUCCCCAAGCGCGGCAACUACAUGGUCCACAUCGACCUCGACGGCUCGCCCAUCAUGGGGAGCCCCUUCCCGGUCUUCUUCAGCGCGGCCACGGCCGCCUCUGCCGCCGCAGCCUUCCCCACCACCUCGUCCGCCUACCCUGCCGCCUCGUCCGGUUACCCCAAUAUGCUCAACCAGACCAUGCCCAACAUGCCAAACUACGCUGGCUCCAUGCCUGGUUCCUUCCCGGGCUUGCUCGGCCUCAUCCCUGGUGCCUCCUCUGGCGCUUCUGGUGGUGUCGUCCUGCCAGGCGUUGGUUCCACGUUGGGUGAGAUAUGCCGGGAGCACAUCAAUGGGAAGUGCACCAAGGGAAUGGACUGCAAGUUCAGCCACCCGCCACAGCAGCUGCUCAUGUCUGUCAUGGCUGCCACUACGUCCAUGGGUGCGCUCAGCCAUGCUCCCAUGGCACCCUCCGCGGCAGCCAUGUCAGCCGCUCAGGCUAUCAUGGCUGCUCAGGCGCUUCAGGCACAUGCUGCUAAGAUGCAAGCUGACUCCAAAGCUGCAGAGCAGGCUUCAUCAGGUAUGACGGAAGCCGAGAAAGCUGAGGCUCUGAAGAAAAUUGUUCAGAUUAGCAACCUGAGCCCAAUUCUUACGGUGGAGACCAUUAAGCAGCUAUUUGGGUACUGUGGCAAAGUUGUUGAUUGUACUAUCACAGACUCGAAACAUAUUGCUUAUGUUGAGUAUUCCAAACCAGAAGAAGCAACCGCGGCAUUGGCCCUCAGUAACGUGGAUGUUGGUGGUCGCCCCUUGAAUGUUGAGAUGGCUAAAUCUCUUCCUCAAAAAACUAGUAUUGCAAAUAGCAAUUUACCUAUGAUGAUGCAGCAAGCUGUUCAGAUGCAACAGAUGCAAUUCCAGCAGUCACUGUUGAUGCAGACGUCAAUAGCCGCUCAGCAGGCCGCUGUACGUGCAGCCACCAUGAAAAAUGCCACUGAUGCAGCAGCUGCACGGGCUGCUGAGAUAAGCAGGAAGUUGAAAGCAGAGGGCUUUGGUGGGGAAAGUGCAGAAGAAAAGGAUGCCAAAGAGAAGUCAAGAUCGCCAUCGCCCCCUUCUCGUAGAUCCAAGUCUCGGUCAAGAUCACCUAUCAAGUACCGUCGGAGUAGGCGGGAUCGCUCUUACUCUCCGCCAGUUAGACGCUCCCGGGAUCACCGAUCACGAUCUCCGUCGAGAUCUCACCACUCAAAGUAUGGCAGUGACCGAUCAUAUAGGGAUGAUAGGGACAAAUAUAGCAGGUCUGGGAGAAGAGAGAGUGACAGGUCUCGUGAUCAUUACUCAUCUAGUUCAAGGAGGAACAGGAGCAGAAGUAUAAGCCCGAGGUCUAAGAAGCCAUCAAGAGCUGAUUCUCGGUCACCGAAGCGGCAAAGGGAAGAAAGUUUAAGCCCAUCAAAAUCAAGAAGGUCAGCUCGGGCUGGUUCAAGGUCACCACGACAUCAUAAAGGGAGCAAGUCAUCACCAGCACGUGAUCAGCGCUCUUCUCGUCAUAGCAGGCAUUCAAGAUCCAGAUCUCAAGAGAGAAAGCACCGUAACAGUGAUAAGAAGGAUGUCAAAAGAUCUGAGGUGCAGGAUGACAAAAAAAGAUCUGAUAGAGGUACUAGAGGUGGCAAAGAUGAAAGGUCUGUGAAGGACGCAGUGGAUAAGAAUGCAGAUAGUUCUGUUGUUCCUCAUAAGAGGAGUUCAUCUGUAUCUGAAGAUGAAUUACUGGAUAUUGACAAUGGCAAUCACAAGAAAUCUAGACAUGAUGCUGCUGGUGCCGUGGAGUAUGACAAGAGGAAGAAUGAAGACAGUAUUGAGGAUGUUGAUUCUCCAAGGUCAAAAUCUGAGAAGAGAAGCUUGGGAGAGGAUGGCGAUAAUAUUCAGAAACAUGACACAACUAGGAGUACCAAGACGAAGACAGAUGGCAAGAAGUAUGACAAAGACGAUUCUUCUCGCAAGGACAGAAAAUACAGAGAAGAUGAAUCAAGACAUUCCAGAGAUAAAAGUUCGCGUCAUUCAUCUUCACGGUCCCAUAGAAGUUCAAGGCAUUCCAGGGAUAAAUAUCAUAGGGAUGGUAUUGACCAGCAUGAGUCGAAGAAAUCAGAAGAGGGCACUCGACCUAGGAAAUACAAUUUCCUUGAUGAUCCCUUGUCUUCAGAUAAAAAGAACCUUCAUAAAGGGAGGUCUCCUGAUAGGAUGGUUAAUCAGUCAGAAGCUGGUUCAGACUCUGAUGGCUUGAAGCAUGACACUGAAGUUAGGCUGCGAAAUGCUUCAUUAGAAGGAGCAGAUCUGGUCAUCCAGGAAGACCAGCGAUUUGCUGAUGAAACUGGUACAAAUAAAUGCUCAGCAGAUGCUCUAUUGCCUGCAUCAAAGCAGAAAGCCGAGGAAGAUAUGUGCUCUACUGUGUCCGACAUUAAUGGGCAACAUGGACUUGAAGGAGAUGGCGCUUUAGGGGGCACCGAAGAGUCUGCCAUGUGA
Molecule: ribosomal RNA, 2973 nt
Filed under: Triticum aestivum (bread wheat)
Lineage: Eukaryota; Viridiplantae; Streptophyta; Magnoliopsida; Poales; Poaceae
Description: partial small subunit ribosomal RNA
Source: RNAcentral